AUGAUUGGCCUGAUGGCUUUAUCAAAUAUCCAACACCUCUGUGAACUGUUUUUGACCCUCGGGUCUUUUUUACAUGCAAACAUUUGUGUAACGAACGUCUUGUUAUCUUAACAAAACA
RNAcentral lists this unclassified non-coding RNA (118 nucleotides) under uncultured Tremellales. Its description in RNAcentral is "sequence contains ITS1". Lineage: Eukaryota; Fungi; Basidiomycota; Tremellomycetes; Tremellales. The record is from RNAcentral.